RNAcentral lists this ribosomal RNA (220 nucleotides) under uncultured Klebsiella sp. RNAcentral describes it as "partial 16S ribosomal RNA". It matches the Rfam family "Bacterial small subunit ribosomal RNA", at positions 63 to 281 of the family's 1533-position model. The record is from RNAcentral. Lineage: Bacteria; Pseudomonadati; Pseudomonadota; Gammaproteobacteria; Enterobacterales; Enterobacteriaceae.
CGAGCGGUAGCACAGAGAGCUUGCUCUCGGGUGACGAGCGGCGGACGGGUGAGUAAUGUCUGGGAAACUGCCUGAUGGAGGGGGAUAACUACUGGAAACGGUAGCUAAUACCGCAUAAUGUCGCAAGACCAAAGUGGGGGACCUUCGGGCCUCAUGCCAUCAGAUGUGCCCAGAUGGGAUUAGCUAGUAGGUGGGGUAACGGCUCACCUAGGCGACGAUC